GCCAGGCACAGUGGCGCAUGCCUGUAAUCCCAGCAGCGGGGGAGGCUGAGGCAGGAGGGUCAUGAGCUCAAAACCAGACUUGGCAAAAGCAAGACACUAAGCAACUCAGUGAGACCCUGUCUCUA
Molecule: small RNA, 125 nt
Filed under: Marmota monax (woodchuck)
Lineage: Eukaryota; Metazoa; Chordata; Mammalia; Rodentia; Sciuridae
Source: RNAcentral